ACGCACGCUGGCGGCGUGCUUAACACCUGCCAGUCGCACGGAAAGGCCCUGCUUUUGUGGGGUGCUCGAGUGGCGAACGGGUGAGUAACACGUGAGUAACCUGCCCUUGACUUUGGGAUAACUUCAGGAAACUGGGGCUAAUACCGGAUAGGAGCUCCUGCUGCAUGGUGGGGGUUGGAAAGUUUCGGCGGUUGGGGAUGGACUCGCGGCUUAUCAGCUUGUUGGUGGGGUAGUGGCUUACCAAGGCUUUGACGGGUAGCCGGCCUGAGAGGGUGACCGGCCACAUUGGGACUGAGAUACGGCCCAGACUCCUACGGGAGGCAGCAGUGGGGAAUAUUGCACAAUGGGCGGAAGCCUGACGCAGCAACGCCGCGUGCGGGAUGACGGCCUUCGGGUUGUAAACCGCUUUCGCCUGUGACGAAGCGUGAGUGACGGUAAUGGGUAAAGAAGCACCGGCUAACUACGUG
This 467-nucleotide ribosomal RNA is filed under the name uncultured bacterium. RNAcentral's name for it is "partial 16S ribosomal RNA". It matches the Rfam family "Bacterial small subunit ribosomal RNA", at positions 29 to 507 of the family's 1533-position model. The record is from RNAcentral.